Molecule: ribosomal RNA, 3819 nt
Filed under: Triticum aestivum (bread wheat)
Lineage: Eukaryota; Viridiplantae; Streptophyta; Magnoliopsida; Poales; Poaceae
Description: partial small subunit ribosomal RNA
Source: RNAcentral
AUGGGCCGGAUAGCCCGUGUGCCCGCACCGUGGUCUGCACGAAACCGCCUCUGCAACGGUAAUCUCCGCGCCACACCGCGUUGCCGACCGACCGACCGACCGACCCCUCGCCCUGCCCACCCGGUCCGCAUCAAGCCCCAACCCACCACCACCAGCUCCACUCCCCUCCGGUUUCCGCCGCCCGCCCAAGCCGCCUCCGGCAAGGACCUGGCCGGCGCCACCGCCCCUUCCCCGGCGGCCCGCCCACGGUCAGGCGCGCCCUGUCCUCCCUCCCCGCGCUCUGGCCGUGGCCCGCCGGUGUGCUCCUCCUCCCUUCGUCCGGGGCCCCGGGUCGUGCCUCCCGCCUCGCCUCGCCUCCUCGCGCCUGGUUUGGAUUCGCUCGUCCUCGAUUCGCCGCCCAGUUGCCGUCCGGUUCGAUUUUGCUCGUCGCCGUCAUCCGUGUGGAAACGCGUACGCUUCGAUUUUGCUCGUCCUCGCCGUCGUCUGUGUGGAGUAGCGUCCGAUUCAAUUUUGCUCGUCUUCGUCGUCGUCCGUGUAGAGUCGCGUCCGGUUCGAUUUCGCUCGUCCUCGCCGUUGUCCCGAUGCGCUCGCGUGUUCUUGGUCCGUCUCGCCUCGUCGGGGGUCUCCAUCUCGUUUGCGAACUACCAAUUCUUUCUUUCUGCGUGCGAUUCUGUUAUCCGAGAGGCACUCCGGGUCCUGGGUUUCGUGUUCGCGUCGGUUGCAGGAACGAACGAGGUCUGGUUUCGAAAUUGGAUUAAGGCCGGAGACGGGGAGCGAUGUUCGUUUAUCGUGCUAGUUCAGACCGGUUCCUCGGUUACGUCACCUGCGUUGCUCUCUUGUGAUACUCUGUCAAUUCUUGGCCCUCUGUCAGUUCUUGUUGGCCCUCUGUCAAUUCUUGAGUUCUUGUUGUACCGGUUAGGCCUUUGCCUUAAUAUUGAUUCUGAGCUUGUUGGAUCAUUGAACUUCUGCAUGCGCUUCUGUUAUCUGAGAGACACUCAUGAUCCCGCAUUUCGUGUUUGCGGCGGAGCGAUGAACGAUUACGUUUUGCGUUCCUGCGUUUUGUGUUCGCCGUCUGGUUUUGAAUUUGGAUUACGGAGACGGGGAGAGGCCAGAGUAAGGUACAGACUUGUGGAUCUGGACAUGUCACAUUUGCUCUUUAUUGGGUUGCUAAGGACACUGAACAGUUUGGCUGGGCCACUGCACGACCUGGCUAAUCAGAAUGCCUGCAUCAUGCUUGUCAUCUUGUGGAAGAAAUCAUCCAUUGAAUUUACUGGUAUUCCAGUGUCUUCAUUGAUUAGAGAGAAGCUUGCAGAACUGUGUGAAUCCGAACAACAAUGGUUGAGAGCAGCACAAAUGCUUAGUGGCAUUGACUUGGACUCAGGAAUCAGGUUGAAACAAGCUUUUGUCUCUCUUUACAUGUCACUGGAUUUUCUAAGUCCGGGAAAUCUGACCAUCUUCUUAAAAACCAGGAUGCUUGAUGACACAAACAAAUUAUCCAAGUGCGUCCAGAUUGAACGACGCUAUUUGGAGGAUGAUGAUGCAGUGAAUGCUGAAGCUUUUAUCAACAAAGCCUCGUUUUUGGUCACAAACAGCAACCAGGAAGUCUGCUAUGCGAGUAAAUUCUUGGAAGCUUCAAUUCGAUACUAUGGGUAUCUGAGCAACGCCAAAUUGGGGAUGAAUCUAGACAUGAUGCUGAUGGGUUGGGUUUGCAUACAAUGCAGUAUGGACCAACAAAAUGGUCUCAUUGCAAGGUGGACAUAUAGGCAAGAAAUGUCAAGAGAGAGAGAAGCUUGGACUAUUGAGAAGGAACAUGCAUUGAUUAAUGCCCAUCGGGUAUAUGGGAAUAGAUGGCCAGAAAUAGCAAAAGUUCUUCCUAGAAGGAAUCGGGUACUUCUAUUUGUUCUUAGGUUCUUCUCGCCUAGAGCUAAAGUCAAAGACGACAAAACCAAGUGGAUUAUUGGAGUUACAAGAUACACAAAAUCAUCGGAACGAAGAUCUGAAUCACCCUCCCGCCUCGAGAGAAAUCAGUUUAGUCAUCCAGAUCUAGACAUGAUGCUGAUGGGUUGGGUUUGCAUACAAUGCAGUAUGGACCAACAAAAUGGUCUCAUUGCAAGGUGGACAUAUAGGCAAGAAAUGUCAAGAGAGAGAGAAGCUUGGACUAUUGAGGAGGAACAUGCACUGAUUAAUGCCCAUCGGGUAUAUGGGAAUAGAUGGGCAGAAAUAGCAAAAGUUCUUCCUAGAAGGAAUCGGGUACUUCUAUUUGUUCUUAGGUUCUUCUCACCUAUAGCUAAAGUCAAAGACGACAAAACCAAGUGGAUUAUUGGAGUUACAAGAUACACAAAAUCAUCAGAACGAAGAUCUGAAUCACCCUCCCGCCUCGAGAGAAAUCAGUUUAGUCAUCCAGAUCUAGACAUGAUGCUGAUGGGUUGGGUUUGCAUACAAUGCAGUAUGGACCAACAAAAUGGUCUCAUUGUAAGGUGGACAUAUAGGCAAGAAAUGUCAAGAGAGAGAGAAGCUUGGACUAUUGAGGAGGAACAUGCACUGAUUAUUGCCCAUCGGGUAUAUGGGAAUAGAUGGGCAGAAAUAGCAAAAGUUCUUCCUAGAAGGAAUCGGGUACUUCUAUUUGUUCUUAGGUUCUUCUCACCUAUAGCUAAAGUCAAAGACGACAAAACCAAGUGGAUUAUUGGAGUUACAAGAUACACAAAAUCAUCGGAACGAAGAUCUGAAUCACCCUCCCGCCUCGAGAGAAAUCAGUUUAGUCAUCCAGUAUUGUAUUUUGACAAUGACUGGGUGUGGCUUGACUGUGUCUGUGGCUUGUAUGCUUUGCUGAAUGAUUGGUUGUUGUGGCUUUACACUGCCUCUGCCGGUCCCAAGCCCGGAUGUGAAAAUGUGGAGGGAGUCUGUUUCUUGUGUGCAAGUGCUACAUUUAUGGACCAACAAUAUAGGCAAGAAAUGUCAAGAGAGAGAGAAGCUUCGACUAUUGAGGAGGAACAUGCACUGAUUAAUGCCCAUCGGGUAUAUGGGAAUAGAUGGGCAGAAAUAGCAAAAGUUCUUCCUAGAAGGAAUCGGGUACUUCUAUUUGUUCUUAGGUUCUUCUCACCUAUAGCUAAAGUCAAAGACGACAAAACCAAGUGGAUUAUUGGAGUUACAAGAUACAGAAAAUCAUCGGGUGCUGCUCAUGAGGAACGAAGAUCUGAAUCACCCUCCCGCCUCGAGAGAAAUCAGUUUAGUCAUUCAGGUUCUGACAUGAUGCUGAUGGGUUGGGUUUGCAUACAAUGCAGUAUGGACCAACAAAAUGGUCUCAUUACAAGGUGGACAUAUAGGCAAGAAAUGUCAAGAGAGAGAGAAGCUUGGACUAUUGAGGAGGAACAUGCACUGAUUAAUGCCCAUCGGGUAUAUGGGAAUAGAUGGGCAGAAAUAGCAAAAGUUCUUCCUAGAAGGUUCGUCUCACCUAUACCUAAAGUCAAAGACGACAAAACCAAGUGGAUUAUUGGAGUUACAAGAUACACAAAAUCAUCGGAACGAAGAUCUGAAUCACCCUCCCGCCUCAAGAGAAAUCAGUUUAGUCAUUCAGGUUCUGUAUGGACCAACAAAAUGGUCUCAUUGCAAGGUGGACAUAUAGGCAAGAAAUGUCAAGAGGGGUACUCUUUUGAUUGUUUUAUAAGGACUGUGCUAACGACCAGUCGACUGGUCGUUAGCAACAGAUCCGCACAAUCCUACUCCAUCUUUCUUCUCCGACCUCCACGACCAGUCGACUGGUCGUUAGCAACAGAUCUGCACGAUCCUACUCCAUCUUUCUUCUCCGACCUCCCAAAGUAG